UUUUAUGGAGAGUUUGAUCCUGGCUCAGGAUGAACGCUGGCGGCGUGCCUAAUACAUGCAAGUCGAGCGAACAGAUAAGGAGCUUGCUCCUUUGACGUUAGCGGCGGACGGGUGAGUAACACGUGGGUAACCUACCUAUAAGACUGGAAUAACUCCGGGAAACCGGGGCUAAUGCCGGAUAACAUUUAGAAC
Molecule: ribosomal RNA, 192 nt
Filed under: Staphylococcus cohnii
Lineage: Bacteria; Bacillati; Bacillota; Bacilli; Caryophanales; Staphylococcaceae
Description: partial 16S ribosomal RNA
Rfam family: Bacterial small subunit ribosomal RNA
Source: RNAcentral